Molecule: long non-coding RNA, 556 nt
Organism: Bubalus bubalis (water buffalo)
Lineage: Eukaryota; Metazoa; Chordata; Mammalia; Artiodactyla; Bovidae
Exons: 4
Source: RefSeq, a predicted model, not a curated record
GCAUCACCUGGCAAAUCCAGCCACGCCCUCUGUCUGAUCCACAGCCAUCUCCUCACCCCCUUCUGAGCUCACUGCAUCGCCUCUCCUGGGUCUGAGGCUCUCACCACGGCUCUCCUGACCAGGCUCUGCAGUGUGAAUGGAGAAAGCCCAAGGAGGAACCAGCCAUCACCCAGAACCAAAUGAAAGGACACCAGAAACUAUGAACUCUCCUAUCAAUUUGCCGGCAAUCUCAGCAGAAUCAGCUGGAACCCUAAACUCUUUAAAGUCUGACGAAGAGGAGUGAGUUUGAGGGAAGGCUAUCCUUGCCACUAUUUUACAGAAGGUGAAACUGGACCAUGGAGGGUGAAGCAGUUUGCAAAAGGGGAAGGAGGUAGCAGAAGAUAACGCUUGGAUUUGUACACAGACUGGGCCCUGGAGACCAUUCACUGCGCUGAUCCAGGAGGCAGACGAUCCCUAGGAGUGCGUAUGGGCAACACUGACUACUUGGUGAGAGGAUAAAAAGAGGAGUGAUCUGCUAAACAAACCGCGCCCUCAUCAUGCAUUACUUUAUCUUUUU